Molecule: ribosomal RNA, 237 nt
Filed under: uncultured bacterium
Lineage: Bacteria
Description: partial 16S ribosomal RNA
Rfam family: Bacterial small subunit ribosomal RNA
Source: RNAcentral
AACGAACGCUGGCGGCGUGGAUAAGACAUGCAAGUCGAACGGGAUUAUUUUUGUAGCAAUACAGAAAUAAUUCAGUGGCGAACGGGUGCGUAACACGUGGGCAAUCUGCCGAAAAGUGGGGGAUAGCUCGCCGAAAGGACGAAUUAAUACCGCAUGUGGUGAGGGACGACAUCUUCCUGAAUCCAAAGCCGGGGCAACCUGGCGCUUUUUGAGGAGCCCGCGGCCUAUCAGCUUGUU